This 229-nucleotide long non-coding RNA is filed under the name Nicotiana benthamiana. Its description in RNAcentral is "long non-coding RNA (NBEN_LNC000856)". The record is from RNAcentral. Lineage: Eukaryota; Viridiplantae; Streptophyta; Magnoliopsida; Solanales; Solanaceae.
CUAUCCGGCACUGCCACAAGUCUCAACAGCCAAAUCAUUAUGUGUAAACAAGUGAUCCAACAUGAAUUACAUUUACAUACUCUUAACAUCAACUGAACUGAAUUCCCCAAAAACUUCCCCUUUUGACAGGGAGAACCACUCAACUUAAUGACCUUGUUUCAAGAAAUGCUAACUGCUCGUGAACACUCCUCUCCCCUACCUCUCCUCUUCAAACCCCCCUACCCGUGUG